GGGGGUAUAGCUCAGUGGUAGAGCAUUCGACUACAGAUAAAGAGGUCCCGGUUCAAGCCCGGAUGCUCCCU
Non-coding RNA from Trichonephila inaurata madagascariensis, 71 nucleotides. The record is from the annotation of a GenBank genome assembly. NCBI's taxonomy places the organism in Eukaryota, Metazoa, Arthropoda, Arachnida, Araneae, Nephilidae.